GAAAUGCAAUAAGUAAUGUGAAUUGCAGAAUUCCGUGAAUCAUCGAAUCUUUGAACGCACAUUGCGCCCUCUGGCAUUCCGGGGGGGAUGCCUGUCCGAGCGUCAUUACGCACCCUCAAGCCCGGCUUGUGUGAUGGGCCCCGGCGUCUCGUUCGCGAGACGGGCCCGAAAGGCAGCGGCGGCGUCGACCCGAUGAGCCCGAGCGUAUGGGGACUUCUGUCACACGUUCGCGGUGCGGACCGGCGCCUGCUUGACUUUUCUGAUUAUCCAGGUUGACCUCGGAUCAGGUAGGGAUACCCGCUGAACUUAAGC
RNAcentral lists this unclassified non-coding RNA (312 nucleotides) under plant metagenome. Its description in RNAcentral is "partial contains 5.8S ribosomal RNA, internal transcribed spacer 2, and large subunit ribosomal RNA". The stretch from base 1 to 105 matches the Rfam family "5.8S ribosomal RNA", at positions 50 to 154 of the family's 154-position model. The record is from RNAcentral.